This is a long non-coding RNA of Cornus florida, 3038 nucleotides long. RefSeq lists it as uncharacterized. Lineage: Eukaryota; Viridiplantae; Streptophyta; Magnoliopsida; Cornales; Cornaceae. The record is from RefSeq and is a predicted model, not a curated record. The transcript is spliced from 9 exons.
ACCCAAUUCCCAAUCUCAGUCUUCUCUCUCUAGAACAUCCCACAGAUGCCUCUCUCUUGGUACAAUCACUCUGUACUCCACCGGAGGCCUCUCUCUCUACCAGCACUCUUCUAGUUCGUCUUCCCUCAUAGUUCGCAGGACGCCUCCCUUUCUCUUUAUAAUCACUCUUUCCUCAAGCUCAACAGAUCGUCCGGUUUGAUCAUAUGCAUCAGAUCUGUUCUCUUCUAGGGUAAACUUUGGCAGAUGAAGCUUGGGAGAAAAUACAAUUAAAGUUGCUCUCAGUUUCUUUCAUAUUCCAUUUUGUGACCUUACUCGCAACUACCUUAACGGUACUAUUCCUCCAGAAUGGGGUUCCAUACAACUAGUGAACAUGUAUGUAUCAACUGCCCCCUCUCUGUGUGUAUAUAUAUAUAUAUGUUAUACACAAACACACACAUCCAUAUUGAAACUUCUCUUGUUCUAACAAAUAUAUGACAUGAUGGUUUUGUUGCCGCUCUCUCCUUGGAAAUCGAUUAACAGGUUCAAUCCCAAAAGAAUUUGGAAACAUAACCAGACUCGGAAACUUGUAAGAUUUAGAUAACCAAUUUCUUUCACAUUUAGGUACAUUUGAUAUAAAAUUAUGCUUUUAUGAUUUUAAUUUUGGUAUUUUUAGAGUCCUCAGGGACAAUCAGCUUUCUGGAGGUAUUCCUCUAGAGCUUGGGAAUCGUCCCAACUUGGAGAAAAUACUCCUAAGCUCAAAUUAUUUUACUGGGGAGUUGCCGAGAACACUUGCAAAUCUGACCACUUUGAAGGACUUGAUUAGCAACAACAACUUUAAAGGAAAGAUACCCAAUUUCAUCCAAAACUGGACAAAACUCCAAAACUUGAUGAUUCAGGCUAGUGGUUUGGAUGGGCCAAUUCCUUCUGGAAUUUCUCUCUUGGAAAAUUUGUCUGACUUGAGAUUCAGUGACUUGAGUGGAAGUGAAACAGCUUUUCCACCUCUUAGUAAUAUGAAAAACCUGAAGACACUGAUAUUAAGGAGCUGCAAUAUUAUGGGACAGAUACCUGAUUAUCUUGGAACAAUGACAAAUUUGAAAACCUUGUUAGUUUUUUUCCAUUCUCCAUUUUCAUGUCUCUCAUUUUCUUAAAAAGCGUUUUGAUCACAUACUUAUCUCUUGUUUGAUAGCUCAAAAGCUUACUAAAACAGUAGUAGAAUUUAAAUAUAUAUUCUCUAUAUUUUUGUUGUCUUCCUUGUGUUAUUGAACAUAUGGGUACCUUUAAAACAAUUGAGUGAUGUUAUAUAGUAUUAUUAAAUGAAAUGUUUCCUAUUAUAUAUGUGCUUUAGUUUGAUGAACUUUUGGCACAAUAAAAAAUAAUAUGGCAAGUGGACUUGUGUAUUUAUUAAAUAAGUUUAAGUUUACUCAACUAUCUUUAUUCUUUAAUUUUACAUAUGUAAGCAAAACUCUUAGUACUUCUUUCCAGAAAAAGAAUUGUUUGUACUUUCGUCAACUUGACAAUUGCUUCAACAUUAGACAAUACAAAGUUAUCUUGGAGCCUUCAUUUAUAUUUUUCUUUGCUGGUCCCUUCGGUUCUUAAUGUUUAAGUUCUGUUUAUAUUUCACUUAAAUUUGAUCGUGUUCCAUGUUUUUUUUUAUUAAAUUUGGAUCAAAAUUUAUUGUUUCGAUGAGUCACAUUAUUGGCAAUUUUUGGAGUACCAGCACUUCUACAAUUUACCUUGUGAAAUUUUUUGUAUGAUCCAGAUGUUUGAUUCAUCUUUAUGUGUAUCUUAUCUUUCUUCUCAAUGAGACCAGAUUUAUAUAGCAUCAUUCUCCAUUGGAAUGGUAGUAGUUCCUCAUUUUUAAGUACUUCUCAUUGGAAUGGUAGCAGUUCCUCAUUUUAAGUAAUUCUUUGUACCCUUUGACUAUGGAUCUAACAAUAUCCACUUUCUCUCUCUAUACAACUAUUCAAUUUGUAAUGAGACUAUAUUGGUCUUUGCUCGUUAAGCACCAAAGCACAAGGACAAGGACAAGGACAGAUGUUUUUAUUCCUCAAGUGAAUGAGAUUGCUUAUUGAAAUAGACAAAGUGGAUUUUGAGGCAAGAUCCCUAUGUUUGCAUAUGUUUCUUAUCUCUCCCUUUCUCUCUUUCUAUAUAUGUAUAUUUAGAUCUAUAUUGUGUUGUUUCUUGAAUUUUUCUACUGGUUAAUUCUUAUACACAACUAUUCAAUUUGAUUUGGUUUUUAAAAAAUAAUUGGAGGCAAUAAUCCUACAUUUAAAGAGAAAUUCGUGUUUACUCUGAUUUGAGGGCUUGGAAAGUUAAAUAUUGUGAUCUGGAAUAGCAAUAUUAUCUCUCUGGUGUUUUGCUACUUAUAGGGUCCAAUCACAAAAUGUCCUUUUUCAAGGCUACAAUGACAACCUUCACCACUUUAGACUGACAAAUAUAUGUUCUUGACUAAAGAUCAUUACUUCAUGAUUAACUCAGGUCUGGUGAAUUUUGAUUACUUCUGUCAAAUUCAUAAGAUCCUAAUUUAAAUGAAUGAUGAGGUUGUGUUUAUUUGUAAUUCAAUUGGGGGACUUAGUUUAUCUUAAUUUGGUUAUUUUCCAGCUGUAAAAAUGGAUUGUUGCAGUUCUUUUCAUGGUUCUUGUCUACGCCAGCGAGUCAUGAAGUAUGAGCCAUCUUCUAGCAGUGUUCUUGGACCCAAUGUUAUUUACAACUCCAAGAAUCAAGGUGAUUCAGGUUCCCGUGGAUAGUUGCAUAUGUUGUCUACAUCAGUUCUUCUACCUGAGUGACCUGAUCAACCUGGAUGCCGAUAUUUCAUUAGCACUGGAAGAUGCAAAUAUUGAUUUGAUUGCAAGUAUAAUCAUCUUAUGAAAGGAAGCUUAGUUGUUCAUCUUUCAGCGGCAUUCAGCACCAUUACCAUAACCACCUGAAUAACUAAUAUGAUUGUCUUCUCUUUAGUCAAUUGAAUAUUAAAGACAUUUUAGCAUUGUAGUUGAAUAUUUAGUUAAUAUUGUGUAAUCUUUUUGGUUAAUGGAUUAUUUGAGUUGGUAUGUUUUGUUGAA